The sequence is an unclassified non-coding RNA, 336 nucleotides long. Its record names the gene 7SK. It matches the Rfam family "7SK RNA". Rfam says of the family: 7SK was discovered as an abundant small nuclear RNA in the mid-70s but a possible function has only recently been suggested. Two independent studies have found that 7SK RNA binds the CDK9/cyclin T complex (known as elongation factor P-TEFb). P-TEFb activates transcription by phosphorylating the C-terminal domain of RNA polymerase II. The record is from Ensembl.
GAAUGUGAGGGCAACUUGGUUACAGUAUCAACCACCCCACUGGUCACCAGAGUUGAUCUGCAUGUUAUAGAUAGCUAGACAGUUGUCACUUCCUCCCUCGGUGCUUCAUAUACACCUCACCAAAACCGUAUGUUUUGUAGCAGAGGAAAUCCUUCCUAGAAAAAGGAGGGACACUCUUGGACCAAGAGUUACUGAGCAACUGUCCUCUGCAAAAAUCUCCAGACAAGCUCUCACGAAGCAAUGAUUAAAAAGAGUUAGAAGUGAACAAGAAAAAGAACCCAAACAGAGUUAGGAAGGGGGUCAGCAGAUGCUUGUGAAGGUGUUCGACUAUUCCUU